UCUAAGAUGUAGGACAGUGAGCCUUGAGGACCAGGGUUGGGAAACACUCCUCUAGAUGCCCAACAACCAGGUAGAGUAAUGUAGCAAUAGCCUCUUCAACCCCUUUCCUUGCCUGAUGAGCAAAUUGAAAGAGCUCCAUUUUACUCUGCACCGUCUGCAAUAUUUCCCUCUUCACUAUCUGUUCGAAUGAUUUCAUCACUGAGGAUGACUUUUUCCAGUAACACUCAAAGAUGAAUGUGAAAGUACCACACAAGAAGAAAGAACAGUGCUUAGCUGUAUCCUCCACAGCUAUGAUUGCAGCGACCAUUGUUGAAGGGCAUUUUGAAAGAGUUCAUUAUAAAGUAUCAACUGGCACUCGGCUCCAACAUCUGACAUAUCGCAGAUAUUGAGGCGCUUCUUCCUCUACCUUCCUGCUCCCUUUGUCCGUUGAAAUCGUCAUCAAGAGAAAAGAUCUAUUUAAGCAGUAGUUCAGUCAACAGAUCUGCACCUCUAUGUGUUCCGACUGACCAGCAUCAUUGGAAGAAAACCAGGUUGAUUGAAGGCACCUAGAAAGGCCGUGAUCCACGUCAGGUCAAGGCCAAUCUACCUCAUCUCUGUAAAUUAAAACUGUCGUCUUGAACAACUGAAGGAUGAUUUCAAUUAAAUUGUGCAGUGUAAGAUCCCCA
This is a long non-coding RNA of Gambusia affinis (western mosquitofish), 665 nucleotides long. RefSeq lists it as uncharacterized. The transcript is spliced from 4 exons. The record is from RefSeq and is a predicted model, not a curated record. NCBI's taxonomy places the organism in Eukaryota, Metazoa, Chordata, Actinopteri, Cyprinodontiformes, Poeciliidae.